This 549-nucleotide ribosomal RNA is filed under the name uncultured Glomus. RNAcentral describes it as "SSU rRNA". It matches the Rfam family "Eukaryotic small subunit ribosomal RNA", at positions 548 to 1098 of the family's 1831-position model. The record is from RNAcentral. Lineage: Eukaryota; Fungi; Glomeromycota; Glomeromycetes; Glomerales; Glomeraceae.
UUGGAGGGCAAGUCUGGUGCCAGCAGCCGCGGUAAUUCCAGCUCCAAUAGCGUAUAUUAAAGUUGUUGCAGUUAAAAAGCUCGUAGUUGAACUUCGGGAUCAAUGAGUUGGUCGUGCCCUUGGUAUGAACUGGCUUUAUUGGUUCUCACCUUCUAAUGAACCAUAAUGUCAUUCAUUUGAUGUUUUGGGGAAUUAGGACUGUUACCUUGAAAAAAUUAGAGUGUUUAAAGCAGGCUCACGCUUGAAUACAUUAGCAUGGAAUAAUGAAAUAGGACAUCGCAUUCUAUUUUGUUGGUUUCUAGGAUCGAUGUAAUGAUUAAUAGGGAUAGUUGGGGGCAUUAGUAUUCAAUUGUCAGAGGUGAAAUUCUUGGAUUUAUUGAAGACUAACUACUGCGAAAGCAUUUGCCAAGGAUGUUUUCAUUAAUCAAGAACGAAAGUUAGGGGAUCGAAGACGAUCAGAUACCGUCGUAGUCUUAACCAUAAACUAUGCCGACUAGGGAUCGGAUGAUGUUGAUUUUUUAAUGACUCAUUCGGCGCCUUACGGGAAAC